RNAcentral lists this ribosomal RNA (252 nucleotides) under uncultured bacterium. Its description in RNAcentral is "partial 16S ribosomal RNA". It matches the Rfam family "Bacterial small subunit ribosomal RNA", at positions 17 to 265 of the family's 1533-position model. The record is from RNAcentral.
GUCCGGCUCAGAUUGAACGCUGGCGGCAGGCUUAACACAUGCAAGUCGAACGGUAACAUAAAGAAGCUUGCUUCUUUGAUGACGAGUGGCGGACGGGUGAGUAAUGCUUGGGAAUCUAGCUUAUGGAGGGGGAUAACUACGGGAAACUGUAGCUAAUACCGCGUAAUAUCGAAAGAUUAAAGUGUGGGACCUUCGGGCCACAUGCCAUAGGAUGAGCCCAAGUGGGAUUAGGUAGUUGGUGAGGUAAAGGCU